AGACGUUGCAAGUUCCCGAUAGGCUCUGAAUUAUUCAGAGAUUCCUUGUAACCGAAUAAAAAUUAGGGGGAAUAUUUAUAAUG
RNAcentral lists this small RNA (83 nucleotides) under Enterococcus avium. RNAcentral describes it as "SAM-III sequence". It matches the Rfam family "SAM-III riboswitch aptamer (SMK box)". The record is from RNAcentral. Lineage: Bacteria; Bacillati; Bacillota; Bacilli; Lactobacillales; Enterococcaceae.